Non-coding RNA from Vicia faba (fava bean), 249 nucleotides. Lineage: Eukaryota; Viridiplantae; Streptophyta; Magnoliopsida; Fabales; Fabaceae. The record is from the annotation of a GenBank genome assembly.
AUGACUCUAACUUUGGAUGACGGGAAGCAGAUUGAAAUUCUUGGCACAUAUCUGAAACAUUUGUGUGAUGCAGCUUACCUUUUAACUACCCGACCAUAUCCAACUUCAAACUUAUUUCUCGCAGAAGUGUCAAAGCAUCAUAUGAAGUUGGCUAUUGCUGCCUUCAGUCAGGAUCUUUUUCUUAGUAGCUUGAUUCUGCCUUUGCUCGAGAACUUUGAUCAUUUGGAGAGAAUGUUGAGCCGUGGGUAA